RNAcentral lists this small RNA (399 nucleotides) under Vigna angularis var. angularis. RNAcentral describes it as "Non-protein coding transcript". The record is from RNAcentral. Lineage: Eukaryota; Viridiplantae; Streptophyta; Magnoliopsida; Fabales; Fabaceae.
UGGAAGAUUCUCUACAUUUAAGAGCAUCAUGUCUAGGAGAACUGAAAAUGGCAACUCUCAAAAUGUGACUGAGAGAAUAGAAGGAGUUGUUGGUGCUAUCGAGAGGGUGGUAGACAUUCUGCACCACAAUGCUACAACUGGACCGAGAGAACAAAUUAGUCUGACUCAUUUUAUGCGUCAUAAUCCUUCCAAGUUUAAUGGGAGCGCAACACCUGAUGAAGCAGAAUACUGGGUCCAAGAAAUCGAGAAAAUCUUUGAGGCUAUAUCUUGCCCAGAAGACAAGAAAGUGAUAUUUGCAACCUUUUUACUGAUUGGAGAGGCAGAAUACUGGUGGAGUGGAUUUAAGCGACUUAUGGAGUCCAACAGGGAAGUUGUCACCUGGGAGAAUUUCAAAGACAA